AAAAGGUUUAUUUACUUAAUAGUUUAGUAUAUUAUAAAUCAUCUUUGUAGGCCAUAUGGCAGGCUUUCAAGAAUUCAUCAAUCUUGGUAAUGAUGGUGUGAAUCUCACUUCAGCCUUUUGAAUAUUUCAUAAUCUUGAACUUAAAUCUCUAGGCAUUCAGAGACAAAUACUUAAUUUUGCAUGGAAUACAUAAAUAAUUUCUGUUAAACCUAACAUAUGAGAUAGCUUUAAAUAGAACCUAUCUUUGUCUAACAUUAAUGCCUAAAUUUUGCCACAUGUGACUUCUAGACUUAAUGGCAUGGUGGAAUG
This 309-nucleotide unclassified non-coding RNA is filed under the name Hevea brasiliensis (rubber tree). The record is from RNAcentral. Lineage: Eukaryota; Viridiplantae; Streptophyta; Magnoliopsida; Malpighiales; Euphorbiaceae.